AUGAGCUAGUUUGGUUCUGAUAAAGUAGUUGCAGCUUCUGUAUUAAAUCAGUUUAAAAACAUGUUCAUACUAACUUCUGUCAGCCUGGUAGUUUGCGGCAUGCUUUCCAUCUCUGGAGGCUUCAGCCUUCAUCUUGCUGGUGUCACUCCCAGCUCAUCCCCUCUUUGCUGACUUCUCUCUGCUUCCUGCACUACCUAAGUCUCUCCAGCUGUCCUGCCUUUUCAGUGAAAUGCUCCAAAAAUGUAACUUGUAAAAACAACAACAGUGUCAGGUAUGUACAAAUGACGGAUUCAGUCAGACUGGUCUUGACUAGAUGUCUCUCUUUGGCUUUUGUUUGGCUAAGCCUGGCUUAGUGCUUAGCUUAGCUCAGCUUAGCCUAGCCAAACUUGGCUCACUACAAACACUUUGGAUCAGCUAGUUCAACUCUGAGGGCGGCAAAAUCUGACAAACAAUGCCUUAAAAGUAUCACUCAGUUGACUUCUCUAGUUUUUUUUUAAAAAAAAAAGGUUAAAUCACAGUUUGCAAAUUAAAUAAGCCUUGAGCUGUUUCUGACACCAGGUGGGCUGGGCUAGCUAACUGGCUGCUGGUUUUAGUUAAGGUUUUGCUAAACAGACUAACAGCUUGGCUAUGUAAGAUUGGAAACAGUGGAAAACAAGAAACCUGGCUGUGUCAAAAGGUGGCAUAAUUCAUCAACCCGAGCCUCUGUAAGAUGGACAUGCCUCAGUUAUUUUCAGUUUUCUCUUUUUUUGAUUGAUGAGCGCAUGACAGUCCCAGCCAAUCAAACUCACGAAUUAGCCUUUGGCAUGGUAUGUACAAAUGACAAAUUCAGUCAGACUGGUCUUGACUAACUGUCUCUCUUUGGCUUUUGUUUGGCUAAGCUUGGCAUAGUGCUUAGCUUAGCUCAGCUUAGCCUAGCCAAAUUUAGCUCACUACAAACAAUUAGGAUCAGCUAGUUUAGCUCUGAGGGUGGCAAAAUCUGACAAACAAUGCCUUAAAAGUAUCACUCAGUUGACUUCUCUAGUUUAAAAAAAAAAAGGUUAAACCACAGUUCACAAAUGAAGUAAGCCUUGAGCUGUUACUGACACCAGGUGGGCUGGGCUAGCUAACUGGCUGCUGGUUUUAGUUAAGGUUUUGCUAAACAGACUUACAUCUUGGCUAUGUAAGAUUGUAAACAGUGGAAAACAAGAAACCUGGCUGUGUCAAAAGGUGGCAUAAUUCAUCAACCCGGGCCCCUGUAACAGAUAAUUUCCUUUAUUUGUAUGUGAUCUGAUAAUUAUGUUGUUUUCUGAUGGAUCCUGACGGGCUGCUUUGCAGGGUUUCCAGUUUACAUGCUGAGCAGAACUUGCCAAGCUGACCAGCUGCUGGCUCUAGCUUCCUGUUUAGUUCAGACAUGGUUUGGAUACAAAACUUUGCAUCUAAUUAGAUUUACCAACUGAGCCCUCCCUGUUUGAAAACAACUUCGCUGUCAGCGCUGUUUCACAACAGGAAAUCUCCUGCGAAUUCACAUCAACAGGUACGACCACAGGUUAUUUCAAACUAAUAACACUUUCCUUGUCUACUCCUUUCAGCUAGAGGCUCUGCAGAUUAAUGAGGCCUGACACCAGAUAGAUCCCAUGGCGGCCUUUUUUUCACCUCUGUUCUAGAGCUGAAAUACCCUGUGUCCUUUGGCACUGCGUUGCCAUCUGUGGCUGCUCCUCCUCUAAUAAACACGGCCCUAUUUAGUCUCUAAAAGCAGCACACAGGCACAGGUCCAACAGAAAAAAACCCUAAUGAACUCAAACAUUAAAAAAGCCACAGCAGUCACUGAGACAGUGCCCUCUGAGUAGUAGAAACCUGCUGGGAUUAUCCUGCUGGCGGUGGAGAGGCAGCUUCUGCUCAAGAAAAGAUGAGAGCUGAGGAGAUAUCGUCAUGUUGUUUUUGCCUCAUCGUCUGUGUCCAUUUUUUGAGCCUGUGGUUACAAUCUUGAGUGUGAGACCAGCAAAGGAGAGAUGAAAACACCUGCUUCAAGUUACUGAAAUAUAAAUCAAGGAGGACUUCGCUUUGAGCAAGAGAGAAAAAACAUAAAUUGAACAGCGUAGAUGUUGUUUUUGUGUGUUUGCUGUUUGAACACUUUGAAAAGAAAUACAUCAUUUUAUGUCAGAGAUUCAACAGCUAAGUAUCGCUGUCUGUGAAGAUGGACAUGCCUCGAUUAUUUUCAGUUUUCUCUUUCUAUGAUUGAUGAGCGCAUUACAGUCCCAGCCAAUUAAACUAACGAAUUAGCCUUUGGCAGACUGUGUAGCUCUAAUAGCAUACCAGUUGCCAGUCUCUCUGGUUGCUUCUUGCUUCAACAACCAACAUGGCCAUCCUAAAAUGCAAAAAUAAGAGCACAGAAAUGAGAGCUGCUGUGCUGUCACAUACAUGCCAAGACAUACCAUUCUCCAGGAAGCUUCAUGAGGUGAAUGAGAUAAGAGCUUAUUCUAGAGUCUGAAAUCUGAAGAUGCUCAGAAGACCUGACCAACACAAGGACACUCGAGUCCAUUAAAACAUAAAUGUUAUUUCUUUAAAGUCAUGAUUUAGGAAGCUGCAGAAACCGUGCCACAUUAGAUACCAAAGAAAGCUUCUAAAGCCUUCAGUUUCAUUGACUGACUGUAAGUCCCGCCACUGUUGAGGUUAAUUGUAGGGAUGGCCCAAUCAAAUAUUGAUAUCGGUCCAAUAUCAGCAAAAAAAACGACAAUUGGAUUAUAUCAGCCUGCAUCUAAAAUCUCCGGCAUCAGCACUCCGAUACAAGCAGUCCAUUCCAGAUUCCGCUGCAGCACUUCUAUCUAGCAGUGCCUAGAUCCAGCAUGCAGAGCCCACAAAAUCACAACAACAGUGUGAACUAAGGUACUAACAAAGUAGCAAAGAGUAGGAGUGAUGUCGGCUGUGUGGUGGUAUUUUUUGUUUAAGUCCGAAAAAGACGUUGCAGUUGAGUGCAAAACUUGUCAUGGACAAUUUUGUGCCAAUAUCAGAUCAAUUUCGUUAUCGUAUAGGAAGUAAAAAAAAAGCUGCACCCGGACACCCCUAGUAAAUUGUCAAACAUAGCUGAGGAUCAGGAACCAGAGGUGGUCAGUGUCAACUCUUUGGAUACACCCCUGCCUUGUUAAAAUUCACAGAACCGUCAUCCUCAGUGGAGACUGUUUUUGUGAUGAUCUGUACAACAUGUAAAGGGACCUAUCCAAACUAUCAGCUUGAGACUGUGAAACACUACACAGACAACUGAGGAAAGCAGUAAACAAUAUGAAUUCAGGCUCUGGGUUCAUUAACUUACUCCAGUCUGAUGGGUUUCAUACCAGGAGGCAACAAAGACAAAUUAAGUCUGGGUCAACUAACUCUGCAAUUUAAAAACUCCCCCCCUCCAGGAUAAUGUUGAAAUAUUUCAAGGCGUGUUGUACAUUUGAGAGAGGGGCCGGUUUGAAAUAACUGACCGGGAAUAAAACAAGCUUUAAAGAAUAAUUGUAGUGUGGUAGAAAUAUUGAGUAUUGGAAAGGAGUCAUUUAUGUUUCACAGUAAUUCUAUCUGACAGUGAGAGAUACCAGUCUUAUUGGGAGUGACCCGCUCAUCUCAUUUUGAAGCUAAGUGAUUAUUAAAACCACGGUCAUGGACAGUUACCUGCCAGAAAAUGUAAUAUUUUUGUCAGUCAGAGCCUCGCAGAACUGCCUCAAAUAUUGUGCUGUGAUAUUUGUGGAUGCACUCUGAAAGUCCACAGGACAGGUAAUAUUUGUUGAAAUGAAACCAUCUGCAUUGAUAACACCUGCCCUCCACUCAGAGAAAGAGAGCAAACAGAGAAGAUCAGUGGUGGCUGGGGAGACCCCUUGAUUGAUGAUAGAGCUUAUUGUGUGUCAGUCAGCGCCUGACAGAUUGAGCUGUCCACAGCUCUGUAUACCAGGGUGUCCCUAGGCGCUCAACGCAUGAAUAAAAACCUCACAGAGAUUCACUUUGAAAACUGACAACCGGGGUUGAUAGUAACACAUCAGUCAGCAGUUUGCAGCCUCACCACCUGAUGCCUGUUGCUUGUUUAUAUCAAAACCAUUUUUAUUUUAGAGUCUUACAGUAAAUUUGAGCUUGAAGUCAGCUGAAGGUGCAUAAACAGCUGUUUUCGGGGCGCUUUAGAUAGUGUCAAAUUAUCUUUUGUGAGUCAAAUUUGCAUGAAAAUGGGACGGAAGGGUAAAAUACUCUUCAAGAUGCAGUGUGUUUGCAUUCAGCCAAACAAAUAAGGUAGAAACAGAAAAUAAAAUUCAUGAGUAUAAAACCAUUUUGUUUUUGUUUACCUCGGAUAAGCUUUCAUAUCUUUACAGGAGCAGGUCCUCCUCCACAGAGAUCGUCUUGUACCAACAUGUUUCUACGAAGCACAGAAUGGACGUUCGCCUGUAUA
Xyrichtys novacula (pearly razorfish) is the source of this 4390-nucleotide non-coding RNA. The record is from the annotation of a GenBank genome assembly. NCBI's taxonomy places the organism in Eukaryota, Metazoa, Chordata, Actinopteri, Labriformes, Labridae.